Non-coding RNA from Vicia faba (fava bean), 246 nucleotides. The record is from the annotation of a GenBank genome assembly. NCBI's taxonomy places the organism in Eukaryota, Viridiplantae, Streptophyta, Magnoliopsida, Fabales, Fabaceae.
AUGUUGGCACUGAGAAACAGAGGUGUUAUAAUGAAUGUUGGAAGAGGGUCCUUAAUUGAUGAACAAGAGUUGGUGAAAUGUUUGAUGGAAGGACACAUUGGUGGUGCUGGUUUGGAUGUGUUUGAGAAUGAGCCUAAUGUUCCUCAACAACUUUUAGCUUUGGACAAUGUGGUUUUGUCACCUCAUAAUGCUGCUUUUACUAUUGAAAAUUCAUGGCUGCGACUCAUGUUGUUGAAGAGAAUCUAG